RNAcentral lists this ribosomal RNA (465 nucleotides) under uncultured Klebsiella sp. Its description in RNAcentral is "bacterial SSU rRNA". It matches the Rfam family "Bacterial small subunit ribosomal RNA", at positions 338 to 795 of the family's 1533-position model. The record is from RNAcentral. Lineage: Bacteria; Pseudomonadati; Pseudomonadota; Gammaproteobacteria; Enterobacterales; Enterobacteriaceae.
CCUACGGGGGGCAGCAGUGGGGAAUAUUGCACAAUGGGCGCAAGCCUGAUGCAGCCAUGCCGCGUGUGUGAAGAAGGCCUUCGGGUUGUAAAGCACUUUCAGCGGGGAGGAAGGCGUUAAGGUUAAUAACCUUGGCGAUUGACGUUACCCGCAGAAGAAGCACCGGCUAACUCCGUGCCAGCAGCCGCGGUAAUACGGAGGGUGCAAGCGUUAAUCGGAAUUACUGGGCGUAAAGCGCACGCAGGCGGUCUGUCAAGUCGGAUGUGAAAUCCCCGGGCCCAACCUGGGAACUGCAUUCGAAGCUGGCAGGCUAGAGUCUUGUAGAGGGGGGUAGAAUUCCAGGUGUAGCGGUGAAAUGCGUAGAGAUCUGGAGGAAUACCGGUGGCGAAGGCGGCCCCCUGGACAAAGACUGACGCUCAGGUGCGAAAGCGUGGGGAGCAAACAGGAUUAGAUACCCUAGUAGUC